UACUUUUUUUUUUUUUUUUUUUGUCGAAACGGUAGAAUUUUUAUAAUCUAAUUUAUUCUAAUUUAAGGGGAAGGGGAGGGAGAUUCGAUAUGAGUAGAGACUCCAUCGAAAAAAAUCAAUUAAAACUGCCAGCUAAAAUGACAAUUUGGUGGGAGGCAAGAGUUGAACCCUAUCUCCCACCUCACCAAGAGUGGUGGUGGCCAUUGAGCUAGAGAUCUGUGGUUCCAGUGCGCACUCCAAUCCCACUGAAUAUGGCAAGCUGGGGAAAAAAAAAAGAGAGGAAAAAGCAACGUUACAAAUGAUUACUAGAAGGUAGUGAGCGCUUUAACAGAAUUUAGGUGCUGCAUUUGACAGGAUGUUGGGUCCAAAAAAGAGAGUUGAUCAUAAUGCCAUGGUCCUUUGUCAAUGAUUUUAAUCACUUUCGGGGUUCAAUCUUUGGGUUCGACAUAAUUGACUUGGAUGGGACAUGAUACAAAUUACUUGCACAUUAUUAUUGUUAUUAUGAGAGUCUCUCCAGCCUCCGUACAAUUAAUUAUAUAUGAAAUCAGGACCAAACCUAACUUCAGCAGAUGCUAAACUGUGCAACAACUGCUUUAACCUGGAAAAGAAAAACAAACUGUCUAUCCACCCCUCAAAGCACAUUUACUGAAGGCCGCACAGCAAUGAAAAUAGCUGGAUAUGAAUGCUCGAACCAAUCCAUUGGUUAUCUUGCCUUGCAGUUCUGGAUUCUCCUCCCCAUCUCUCCCGAAGACAUGGAAGCCCGGGGGGAGGGGGUUCUGGUGACCGAGGGGUUCUGCCUCAGAGGUUACAAAGAAAGAAAAUCAUUACAUCCAGUUACACAUUUGCUAAACCACUGGACCAAUGGCUCAGUGACCACCAGAGAGGGGCUUAAAUCCCUCCUUGGACUGUAGGCGGUGAGGAUUCAAUCCUUACCUGCAGCGAAAAAAAUCUAAAAAUUUUGUUACAACACUCUCUUGGUCUAGUUGGAUCUAUAUACCCACUAACCCCCUACCACAACUUCCUUAGGCUCCCCCUCCCCCCUAGAUUAGGAUAAAAUAGGUUAUACAAAUGUAUCGUUGCUGACAAAAAAAAAAAAUUACACAUUUGCUAAGAAUUAAAAUCACUGAGGCACAAAUUAACCAUUGAUCUAAAAUUUCAAAUGACGUGAACAUUCUCCGUUGUCUACUCGAUUUUAACACAAUAGUAAAAGAAGGCACAAGCAGAUCCGUCCAAAGAUUGCAUAAAGAUGAUAAUUUUUUUAAGACUCAAUAAUGAUCUGAAAUAGUCCACCAAGUUCCAGGGAAAGAACUGAGGACAUCCCGCUAGAAAUACAUCAGAUGACUAAUCAAGAACUUCAAGGCAUAAUUCCCUGAAUUGCCAUGUCAUUGCCCAAGGCAAAAAGCAGUUACAUAACUCAUAGAUCAAUGACACGAGAGAGCUUCUGAAUACGAUUCAACAAGAAAUCUCCCUGCUUGAUGGUUGCCUGGUAGAGGGCAUUCUUUGCAUCUGGACGAUUAGUUUCGAGCACACCUGCUACUUUAUCGAUCUUGCAGUGUAGCUUUCCCGCGGCAAUAAAGCGGGACAGCUCCCUGCAGAAGAAUUAAAUACCCAAACAUCAAUUUAUUUGUAUAAUGACAGUAAUUUGAAGUUACAGGUAAGAGCUCAUAGGAUCAAGAUACAUGACAAACUUACAAGUCAAUGAAAUCCACAGUCACCCCAAAUGCUUUUGCCAUAGCUUCAAUGGUAACGCUCUUGUAGGACUCGAGGAAUUGCGAAUAAACCACACUUCUAACCUCCCUCAUGUAAUACCGGAAGUGUGGGUACAAGUACCGGUCCAAUUUAAUAUACUCAGUUAAGCCAGCUGAAAGUCAUUUGAAUAAAUUGAAUAAGACAAACUGCAAAUAAGUAACAAAACAUUGGUCCAAACUGUGAUAUUUCAACAGAGGAGACGGCAGUUUCUGUGAAUAGCAGAAACACUGAAGCAGAUAACUAUAUCAGAUUUUUUAACAAUUACUACUUAUAGAAAAUUAAAGAAAAAGUGAAGAAUUUUAAAAAAUCCUUAAUCUAGAAAAGAAGUAGCUAGCUCAAAUCUGAACAAACAUAUAGCAUAUUAAUUUGUCACAUAUUUAAGCAGCGCGGAGCCAGUCCCUAAGAACAACCCAAGUCCAAUCUGCACCACAAGCCAGUCUGGGGAAGGAGGGAAGGCUGGAUUUGACAUUAUAUGUUCAAGAGCCUAUGCCCUUAAAGUUCCUCUUUUCUAUCGAGAAUGAGGUAUUUCAUAAAUAUGUUUGUAAGAUAGUGACAUAAAUUAAACAGCAUUUAUACUUACCAAAAGCAGAGAAAAAUGAUUUAUAUUGACAAUCAUAAAGUGAGUUCAAAAACUCUGACAAAAAUGGGAUUUUCCCAAUAACUGCCAAGAUCUCUGGGGCAUCAACAACCUGCCACAAACAGCACAGGCACCAUAAGUUCUACUUCAUCCCUUUUAUCAUCAUCUUCCAGAAAAAGAUGAAAAGUACUAGAAUGUCAUCAAGGGGAUGUGGUUAGACAGGAAUGAAAAUAUGAUUGCUUAUUUGAUCUACAAUUGAACCAGACUCAUCUUAAAAAAAAUGAAUACCUUCUGUUUCAGGGAAACUCUGUCUAGUGAUAUGAUGCUUGUAAGGACAGUGUAAAAUAUGAAGGUGUCAUAGGUAAAAAGUUCGUAAGUUGUAAAAGUUGAAAUGGAAUCAAGAAAAAGAUUUGCUGCUUUCUUGAAGUUACGUGUUGACAUGCAGAACAAGCCCUCAUACACCUUCAACCUGUUCUUUCUUUCCCAGUCACCUCCUUCUUCAAACAAGCUGCAAACCAUAAGUCAAGAGCAAAUAUUAAGGAAAACUGGAGCACAUUAAGCUAUAAUAUAAGUGUGUAUAUAUUAUUGAAGAUCAACACACAUAUAUAUAUAUACAUAUAUAUAUAUAUAUAUAUAUAUAUAUAUAUCCUUUACUUCUUUGCUUUAUCAAUACUCUUUGAUAUGAGAUCAAAGUCCAUAUAGAAGAAACCAAUCUGCAGUGUGUGGAAAACUAGGUCCAUCUUUUGGCCAACUGCAACUGUUUUACUUUCUGUGACUUUGAGCUGUUCAAGGGCCUUCUCCUGGAUUCAUUGUGAAGCAAAUAUCCAAAAAAAAAAAAAAGGUUAAAUCACAACAAGAGAUAUGGAGGUACAAUGAUGGAAAAAAAAGUUCACUCGUCUACCUUAUCACUAAUUCGGAUGUAAAAUAAGGAUUUAGCCAAAUGAGCUUCUCUAACUUCACUUUCUCCCAGGUUCUCCUCUGCAUCAGCAAUCCUAGAAAGUAGAUGAAUAAAGACUAAAGAAGAGCCACAAAAAAAUAGCAUAUGGAGCUCUAUAAGCAGGAAAACAAAUCUAUUCAUGCCAACUCAUGAAAAGACCUCAUAAUGAAGAAUUUGUGCACCUAUACACCAAAAGCUAAGGAAAUGAGGAAAAAGGACAAACAGCAAAAUAUAUAUCACUAGGAACACUCUUGUCAAAAUGACAUAUUGGAAUAACCAUCAGCUACAGAUUUUAGUACCAGUAACAAGAACCAGCGAAUAACUAUCAGAUUGACUGCCUCAAGGGAGAUUUUUAUACACAAUUACCAGUAAAACAGCAAUAGAAGGACAUGAGGGCUACAUAGCAUGUAAUAUCUAACAAGGAUUACCUAGCGACUGCUAAUACUUCACAAGUCAGGUUGACAUUUGAGCCUUAUGAGUAGUAGUUCUUACUUUCUACUUUUUUAAGGAAAAUUCUAACACAAUAGAAUAGGAACAAGGGGAAAAAAAUUAAGAGCUAUAAAGAUUUGCCAUAAAGGGGGGACAGGAAAGUGCAUAAAAAGGGGUAGACUCUCUAGUCCAUUUUGACAAAUAAGAGAUGCCAAAAUCCUAUGGUUCAUCAUUCAAAUGUAUGACUGAUAUCUAAUUGCCAGUUUUACAUUUUCAUCUGCAUAAGCUAACCCAAUUUUUUUAAAAAAUUAUAUGCAACUAGAAAUUGAGAUAACAAAUCACACAGUUCACUCUAAUUUGUUUGUAACUGUGUGCACAAACUCGUAUCGUCUAUAUUGAGGGAGGAUCAACAUAAGGAGACGUAGCUUCUUUUGACAUUCCUACAUGUUUGGAGUUUCAUGUGCAUUUAAUAUCAUAACACUAUAGGCCACCAGUUCAAAAGCCAUCUUUCCAUACCAUAUAUAUCAUCAAAAGACAGUUUUCAAUACUCAUUUGAUGAAGUGCAAGCAAACCAGGACUGUCUUCUUACUAAUUUUCAGACUCCUUUUGAACGUACUAAGAAUGAAUAAACAAAUCAACAAAAGAAGCACCUUCACCUCUCAUUUGAGUUGAACCUAACAUGUGACAGCAUGGUAACCGGGACUCCAAUGUUUCAGAAUUAACCUCUAAAACCAAUUAAACCUACUCUUGCCAGAAUGAAACUAAUUAUCAAUAACAUUCACCCUCUUGUAUCUAGUCGGGAUUCCUGACACCUACAAAACCUUUAAGGCAAACACUAAAAAGUUAAACCGGAGGAUGCAUAAAAACUACAUUCAAAAAGCAGGUUAAGCAAUACAAAUAUAUGUGCACUAAGGCAGCAUUUUACCGAGCCUUACAGCAAAACUAAGACAUCAGCUUAAAAAAUUGCCGAACUCAAGCAGCUAGUAUACAGAAACAUACAGAAAUGACCUUAAAAAACGUCAUCUUUCAGGACUUCGACAUCAUAAGCUAUUCUCUGUUCCCCAAAUUCACUAAACUAAUAAUCAGACCGCAGACCUCUGAUACUAAACGGUCCAAUUAUUCAAUAAAGCCGACACUAACAGUGCCAAAAAAAAUUCGGAAAGCUAGUAAAAUUGAAAAAGUAAAUUAGUCAAAUGAGAAUCUGAAAAUUACUUUUCAUCAAGCUGCUUGAGUUCCUCGUCAAUCUUAGCACGCAUCGAAUCCAGCACCUUUUGAUCCAAAUUCAAAACCCCAUUUGCAAUUAGGGUUUCGUACAAUGGCGCCAUAUCUGAAUACAAUCCCACCAUAAAUCAAAUUAAUACUCGUUAACAAACAAAACCCAAAGCAUAUAAACACAAAACACCCUAAUUUGACUGAAAAACAUAAACCAAUAAAAAAAAGUAUAUAUCCAAAUUACUCAGCAGCCAAAUUUACCAUCUGAAACGACGGCGUUGUAAACUUCAUCCCGGAGGCGAACUUUCUCGAUGUCGUCGACAUCUGGGUGAGUGAGCAAGAAGAGUUUGUUGGCGAGAAUCAGGUGGGGUUGCUGUUUGCCCUCUUGAUUUUCCAUCUUCUUCUUCUUCCUUUUUUUGAUUUUUGGGGUUUCUUUUGGGUUCUUAUUCUUCUUUUUGAUGUUGGAGCUCAGAGCCUAUAUGCUUGUGGAGAGGGCAACUGAAAGGUGCUGGCUGGCUAGCAGGACUAAAAUUUAAAUGAAAAAAAAAAAGGAAAGAAAAGGCUUGAAUUACACUUACCUCCCCUAAUUUUUUCAUAUUCAUAAUUACCUCCUUAACUUUUGUUUAAAACUAAGAUUAUUCAACUCUAAGAGCAAAUAAGUAAAGAAAAAAAUUGUAUUGCUCUUAAUAUAUGGUUGAACAAGGUCUUAUUUUACACUUUUGUUUGAAAAUAUAUGCUUUUUAUAUAUUCAAUUAGUCCUUAAAAUAUAAAAUAAGUUUCUUCCAAGGACAUAAAAUUUUAGUAAAAAAUAUUUGUUACAGCCUAUUAGGACUUGUGUAUUACAAGAAGAAGUAAUAUGGGCAAAGUUCAAAGAGAUUUUGGUCUAAUGGCUAAUAGUUAAAUUGAGAUCCCAAACAUUAUAGAUCCUAGAUAAAAAAAAAAAUAUUAUGGGCGGCAAAGGAUCUAAAUUACUAUAACAUUUAUGUCUCACAAGUUAAUUGAAUUUUGACAUCCUUAUACUAUAUAAGAAUGAGUUUUGGUCAAAAGAGAUUUUGAAUUUCAACCGCAUGGGUAAGGGUAUUUUGGAAAUGUGAAAUAAUGUGUUGCUUUUUUAAAGUUUUUUGUACAACUCAGGGCAGCAUGUGUUUGGGUAUGUUUACAGAGAUACCCUCAUGUUGUAUAUUUAAAGUUUGUAUUAUAGGUAGAAUACAAUUUAUGGUGAAUUCUUUUGUCACACAUUUCCAAAAAUGGGGUUGUGCCUUUUUAUGGGUAUUUUGGGAAUGUAUGAUUAUUUUGGUUAUCGUUUUAUCUGUUGGUACAAGUGACAAUAGCCGUUGUGUGGUUGUAAUUAGUUAAACGUCCUUAGUCUCUAAUUAAAUUGGGGAGAAUGUGGUUUAGUAGGUAAUUAGUGAAAGGAAUUAAUGAGGGAAGGGUAUUUUGGGAAUGCGAGUUUGUUGUACUACUCUUUUUAACAGUUGGUACAAUUCAUAAUAACUUUUGUCUUGGUGUAAUUACAUAAAGAUGGUGAGUUGCAAAUUAAAAUUUGGAGAGCAUACUUUGAUGUAACUGAUUAGACUUCUCAACUAGCUAAAUUCCAUUCAUUGCAUGGUUUAUUGCAAAUGAUUUAUUAGACACAAUUAUUAGGGAUAAUUGGCAGAAGUGGGCUAGAUAGGUAUUACUAUUCAAAUUCUGCUGCUUCAACUUCAUGUAUUUUGGCUUACGGUCUUUACCCUUUUUAACCAUUCUAGGACUAGGAUGGUUAAGACAAAAUUAAUACUAAUUAUUGGAAAAUUUAAAGUAUCAAGUGUUGGACAUCUGUUCAUUCCCUUUUCUCAGUUUUUGGGUUUGCUCAACAAAGGUUUGUUGUUUGGAACCAUCUCUCAUCCAUUUGAAGACAAAUCAUAACAAUCAAUUGACUUUUAGUUUUUUUGAAUUGUAUUUUUUUGCGUUACUUGUAUUUGUGGUAGGAACAGGAUUCAUAAGAAGAGUGUUACAUAUUUACAUCUCCUAAUCAGAAUCUGGAAGCCAAGGUAUGUUGAAACUAUAUUUUUUUACAUUGAAAUUUGUCAUAAUUUGCAAAUAACUUGUGAUAUAUGUAUAACUGCUUUCUAUACACAUGCUAAUAGAUUUAAUUAGGUCAUACUAAUGCAUUAACAAUGUCAGCCUCAUGUGUGUGAGGAAAAGUUUUGUAGGAAAUAUUUGGAAUAAGGUAACCAAAAUUUUAUCCUUCCUACUGAAUCUUUUAAAUUCUUUUGAUAUACAUGUAGUUAGUUCUGGAAUUGAUUUUGGUGUUAGUGUGUACUUAGUAAUACUGAUUUAGUUUGGUGACAGAACUCGUUCAUUUAUGUAUUUGGUUAUAUAUAUGACUGUCUAAUUUUCUGGGAAUACUUGAUUCAUUUGGUGGUAGUUUGACCUUUGUACUACUGAUUUGCUAUGGUGAUAAAGUUGAUUCAUCUAUGUAAUCAUGUGAUAAUUGAUUUUGGUAGUUUGAUGUUCUGCUAUGAAACUUAUGACUUGUCUUAAACUUAUGUUUGAUAAUAUGUUUAUUUUCUCUUAUAUUUUGCUAAACUUAUGGUAAUUGAGUAGUCCAUAGUGGUUGAAUAGAAUUAAUUAAAGCUUUCAUUUCUGACCUCCUUCACAAAGCAUUAGAAUUCAACAUAAAUUUAGAUACAUACUUUAUUAGUAUUACAUCACAAAUUGAUAGGGUGUUAAUUGUUGGUUAUUUUAUUGUUAAUUUCCCCUUUGUCCUUGCCAAAUAUUGUUUUAAUUAUUAGUAUUUACUUAUAUUUAGUAUUUGGAUUUAAUUUUAGGGAAUGGAACAGAAACUACAAAAAAGAAGGGACUUUCUGAGCAAAUUACUGCACACAUGGGAGUCUUCUGCAAAGCUCUCUCAACGUGGCCCACAAGAGAGGAAACAAACGGAUUUCCCUUUGGCCCUUAUUGAGCUGAUAAAGAAAGGGCUAUGAGAGCCCUAGGAGCCGAGGAAACAAAAAGAAAAUUGAGCCGCAUCUUUUGUAUUCUUUUUUUGGCUUUCAAUUUUGGUAGGGACCACGGAGUAGGAAGCAUUAUGUCAUUUUCCUUUGGCUUUUAAAGGGACAAUCGUACAGGAGCUUCUUAUCAAUAGAUACUAAGAGGUUAUCGGCUGUGCUAAGCACAGCCUAGACCCCCUAUAAUCUGUUGUCAUAUAUUUUCGCAUAAGACCAAUCAAGUAUGCAGCUAACAAUAUGAGACUAAACAAAAAAAAAAAUCAUUAGCAUUGCAAAAGAUAAGAGAAGCUGACAAAAGAUUGGCAAGUAGUUUCAUAAACAGCUUAACAUCUUCAAAUAUAAAGUGCAAUCAUAGGCUGCAAUUACAAAAGAUCACAUAUUGAGAUCCAUUAAGGUGCACAAAAGAACAAUUUCUUAAUGGAUGUCAAUAUUAUGUCAAAAGAUGCAAAAUUGGGAAUGCAGCUGUAAAGUGUUUUAACAUUAGCAAAAUGAGCAAUUCAAAAGGCUUCAAGGAAGUUCAGAGUUCAUCGUCACGCUGCUUCUUCAAGGGACUUCCAGGUGCAUUGGUGGACAGCGAGGUAGGUGUAUUAGCUUCAGGAGAAUUCAAACCAAUUCCGGGAGGCACAGUUCCAAAAACCAAGGCCCUCUUUGCUGUUGUCACUGUAGGCGGCACUUUGUUUGCAGUAGUAGACGAUUCAGCAAUGGCAUCAAGCAUUUUUUUGGUUGAUGGACUGAAAAAUUUAGUUUUCUUGGUAGGCUGCAGGACAGUAGCUUGAAGGGUUGAAAUUUUUUCAUUCGUUUAUGCAGUUGUGAUGGCCAUUGGAAUGUGAGCUGAUUCCUCAGUAGUGUAUGCCUUGACAAUAUUAUACUUGGCUUCCUUCCGGCCUUGAUAAUCUGACUCAUAGUAGCGAAUGAAACACACAAUUGCAUGCUUUCCGAGUGCAGAUGCUAGUUCAGCAGAAAAGUUAAGCUCCUAAAUUUUUUUGUUUUAAAGUAUAAAUAAUUAGCAAUGAUAUUCAAAUUCUGAGUAAUUUCAUGCUGUAUAAAUAGAACUGGAUCCCAAGCAUAAUUAUGGAAGGAAACAAAACAUAUUAUACCCAAGACAUUAUGGAAUAACUGUGAAAGAUGGUAAAACCAAAUAAUCUUUUGUUUCCUACAAUCAUGACACUUUUACAUGGUGAGAGCAGCAUUCAUACCAAAGAAAAGAAGUGUGAGAAUCAGAUUAUUCGAUAGUUAUUACCAUUAGACCUCAAUGAACUAAAUAAAACUCUCACUUUUUUUUUUCUAUUCGGGUAAAGGCCUAAAAAAGCUGAAAUCUUUUGAGUUCAUCUGGGCCAUUAAUAUAGACCAGCAAAAGCAACGAAGGAGAGAUGUUCCAAUUGUUGUAUCAACAGAAAGUCACUUGGUGAGAAGAAGGCAGAACUAUUUGACUCAUUCUGGACAUGCAGUUCCAAUUCGAUUGAGAUUGGAUCUGUCAUACGAAGAAUGACCAAUGCUCUAAUUGGCCAAUCGUGCACAAACUCUAUUAGUAUCAAAUAUACAGUUCCAAUUGUGCACAAAAUUUCUAUUUACUUAUUUACCUAAAACUAAUCAAAUCUGGCAAAGAAGGGGCUAGAAGAGGUAACUCGAUAUCUCAUUUACAGGAUAGCACAAUUGGACUAAAAUCUCAUAAUCUUAUCUAGGAAAAUGUACCCAUUGAGAGCUAUCACUGUUUUUUUCCUGAAUACCACCACUCCUUCUUUUGCUUUAUGGGUUUCUUACAACUAAAUUCCUAAUAAAUUAGCCUCACACAACAGUAAGAAUUUGACAGUUUGUGGCUUCAAUAACUAAUAGAAAAGGCUACAAGCAUGAGAGUUUGGAAAACAAAGAUGAAAUUGGCCAUUCCAGCAGAAAUAUAGCCCGCAUGAUAUUGGAAAAGUCAGCAGAAAUAUAGGAAAUUAUAAUUGGCAGCAGAAAUAUAGGCACAUGAAGUUCAUCGCAGCUGAAUGGGAAAAUGAAGAAAUCUAUGAAGGGAAAAAGAAUCGAUAACAUUAACCAAGAUGUAUUAAGCUGGUAGUUGUAUUAUCAUGCAAUAGCUAAACUUGUAGCAGAUUUUUUUGUUGGCAAGAUUGUUAGCUCACCUCAGUAUGAGCUUCCCAGAAUUGAAGUGCUGUAAAUGGGAUAAGCUUUUCAGCAUCAAGGCCAAAGAUAACAGUAUUUAUGGAGCCCGUACCAUCAUCAACAGCAAUUCCAACUCGGGUCCUAUUACACAUUGGAAACAAAAUAUUAUAUUUUAAUUCAUUACAAGAGAGGGAAACUUAAUUUGGUAGUUACCUUGCUACAACUCUGCUCUCUUCUUUGCAAGAUGCGCAUCUCAUAACCCAUCCUACGUCAACAUUGAUAGCCUUUUGGCAGUUCUCACAUGCUUCAAACCAGAAUUUUUGUUGUCCAGGGGACAAACUGAUUUUUCCUGUCAUCCAAGCUGUUUUCACCUAAUAGAUGUUUUUGUGAACAGAAAAAAGAACAUCUGAGUUUUGUAUUAAUUUGGAUGGCUUAAAGAUGUAGAUCAGGUUAUAAAUGAAAAAGGAAGUUACAUCUUUGAGUGUGUUAAGUGCAUUGGCUACACUGAUUAUGUCGUUAGCACUUGGAGGUGGCAGCAGCUUAGAUGAAUCUUUGUAUGCUAUUUGUUGUAUCAAUUCUGCAAUUUCUUCUUUAUUUGCAUUAUACCUAUCCAAGAAAUUAAUGCAACAGACUUUAAUUUAUCAAAAGGAUAUAGAAAAGUUUAACUAAAAUGAUCAAAGGACAUGUGCAUCAUUCUUUGAGUGCAUUUGCUUCAGAAGUGGGAGGAUUAAUCAGAAGGCCACUCCCAGGCUUGGUUGUCAGAGAUAAGUCUAAUAAUAAAAGCAAUAGUUUUCAUUAAGUAAUAGAGCAAUUUAAAAGACAGUGAUAGGCUGAGUUAUUGUAACUGGUUGACUAUCAUUGAAGUAUAAGCUGUUAAAAGUAUAUUAACUUCACUUACAAUUAAAAGUUGUGAUUUUCAGCUUCAUGCCAAUGAUAACGUUGGCAUUUCCAAUACUGUUUGCAAGUUGUGUUCCCUGAUUUUGUUCGAACUCAUUCCAAAGAGUAAGAAGCAUUGGCUUUUUCCUUUACAAAGAAGAGGAAAAAUGGGGAAAAAUGUGAAUGCAACAGUUUUAUGCCUUGAAUAGGAAUAUUAAAAGUAAGGUCUAUAUAACUAACUCUUCAUUCACAACAAUGAAGUCUCUUGUUUUACACCCGUUAUUCUGUUCCUUUGUCGCAAAUGCAGUGACAACAACAGCUUGUAAAUCUUAGUACAAACCAAAAGAGAAGGGGUUAGCUGUGUUUCAAUAGCUAAAGGAAAUAUGAAAAUGAAUUUAUAUUUCAAACAGUAAAGCAUAGAUAUAACUUACUCUGAACAUUCUCUGUGACUGCGAACCUAAAAAGGUCUUCAAAUUUGGUCAAUUCGAAAGUGCAUGGUAGCAUUGGUGGAUUUGGCUCAACAUACUCUUCAACUAAUGUCUUGUUAUGAAGCACCCAUGAGAACUGAUAGUCACUAACUUUAUACUUUGCAUCCUAUUUUUUGACAGUCCCACCAGUGAUAUAGUAUUACUUGAACGGUUGCAGCAGAUUAGCAAAAUAACGAAUGUCGUUUCCAUAAAUGACAGUUGAAACCAUAGUCCCCUGUUCAUAGAAAGAACCAAGAUGAGCAAUACUAACCAAAAGGCUGAAGUACAACACUCAAGGUGAGAAGGGAGAGGGGGAAGAAAACAUAUAACAGCAAUGUUUGAGUUGCAAGAAGCAAAUCACUAAGAAUAAUCAGAGACAUUUAUGAAGGAAAAUGGUAGAAAAAGCAGAACAGAAUUUGACAAUAGACUGCUAUCAAUUAAUGUUAUCAAGAGACUGCUAUCGUUUGCCACAAUUUUCCUUAAAGGGAAAAAAAGUAUUUCAGAUCCAGGGAUAUGUAACAGGCGAAAACGCAGGACUCUUCGAAAGAAUUGAAGUAGCAAAAAUCUAAAACGCUUUCUGUACAAAUACUUUAGCAGCUAUUGGUCACGUUAGUAGCAACUACAUCUUUUCUCAACCUUGUGGUGUUUAGUUCACCCAAUUUGUUAAGAGGAUUACGAGACCAAUUGUCCUCUACUUGUACAAUGUGUUUAAUAAAGUAAAAUCAAUCUACGAUAUUGUAUAUUGAAUGUCCCUUUUUGGGUUCAAAGAAAGUACCAUAUGUAUUAGCAAUUGACAAGCAAAAAAGGGCAACAAAACUAACAUGCAAAAACUUGGAUAUACAGAGCCUAUGUCUAUAAUCUAUGCUCUAAUGCUCCCAUUCAUUUUUUUCCCUUUUUUUUGGCCCAAAUGCAUUGCAGGUGCUGUUGCCUAUAUCUAUAAGUUGAACUAACGAAGUAAUCAGGGUACUCUUAGAACUUUUCCUUAUCUGUGAGUUGCUUUCUCUCCUAUAUAUUUUCAAUAUUGGCAAAUACUGGCUGUUAUGCUUUGGUACGGGAGUUUGUCCUACCUAAUGAAACCUAAUCACAAUAUAAAUAGUCUAAUGACCUGCAAAACUCCAGAGAUAGAUUAAAUUACUGCAUUUAGAACAUUUAAGUAUUUUGGCAGCAGUGACACUUUGACCAAAUUGGCUUCGUAAUUUAAGUUUGAGCCCACUUGUUAAAAUAAAAAAAAGGGGGCUGGAUAUGUAUAUUCUUGUCUGUAUAGGAGAAGAUGGAGAAUUUGAAGGGAUUGGGCGAAUAUCUGCUUUCUUGUUAAUAUUUUAUGGCAGAAAUGAGGUGAUGCACCUAACUGACUUAGAUCAAAAUGAGCAUUUUGUAGUUGCAAUACCUAUCUUUUUUUCCCUUUUCGUUUUACAUCCUUUGUUGGAUCUUUAAAAACGUGUUCACAGCAGUAGUGAACACGAUAACACGUUGCAAAAGAGUGUGAUUACAGAAAAAGACGUGCAAAUAUAGAUAAAAGGUAAGGGGAAAAAUUUUCUUGGAAAUCAGGACAGAUUAGGUGCGAUUAAAAGGUGAAGAUGAGAUGGAAGUACUUCUAUCAAAGUUCAAAGUCUCCAAAAACAUUAAGCCAAAGAAGCAAAACGCGGAAAAACAGGGAUAAGAUGGCUGGUCUCCUGACUUGGCAUAGGCUGUACGGCUACACAUUCAAUUCUACCAAAAAAAAAAAGUUGCCAGAAUGGAAAUGAGAUGGUCUUGGGGUAUUAGAGCUGUGUUUUUCUCUUUUGCUAUAAAUCAUUUCCGUUAGUCUUCUGCACUUUGUUUUAGUCAUUGAAUGCACAUUGAGGCACUCAAAUGCAUCCAAACUGUAACAUUUUCAAAUCACUAUAUAUGAUCUCCCAUACAGAAAGUUAAACCGAUUAGGCAUACAUCAUUGGUUAAUAAUAAACCUUGUAAUAUUAUAGGGUAGAAUCAUGUAAGUUAAAUCAAGAUUUCACUAUAGUCAAUUUGCAAGCAUUGGUAUUUUAAGUUCCAACGGAACAAUAUUACCCAAGAAACAUAAAAAGAAAGCAAUAUUAAAAAGUAAUCGGCCUGAAAUUAAAUUGCAUAGAGGAUAAUUAAUUAUCUGGACAUGUUGAUGAUUUAGAAAAUGUUAAAUUGCUAAGAUCAGUUUCAGCUUAUAUUACCUCAGAAUCUGUUAACACGAGGCGCUGAAAUCUGAUAGGCGGUGAUCUGUUACUGGUUAACACGUGCGAUUUCUCCAUAACUUGCACAAGCACUGUCCACCUUCUCAUCUUGUCGUGGACUUCAUGCACUGAUAGACAUCUCCUUGCCAUUGUUAUCUAUAAUAAUAAGAAAGACACAUAAUCAGUUUGUAAGUUAAAAGAGAAGAAAUUCUGGAACAUUCAAGAAAACUGGAACUGAAUCCUAAAAUAACAUAAUUACUUGGCAGCUAUGCGAGAAGUUUCAAGAACUUCUCUAAAUACAAUAUUUUUUGUCUGGUCUGUUCUAGGCUUAUCAAAAAAUGGAGGUUUAAUGAGCACUUUGACUUGAGAAGCAGUUCUUGCUCGCGAUAAUGCAACGUAGAGCUGCCGAUGGGAAAACACUAGUUCCUUCAAAUAGAUACCAACAUAAUCAAGCGUUUGUCCUUGAGCUUUGUUUAUUGUCAUGGCAAAGCAUAAGCGAAUUGGAAACUGAGUCCUUGUAUAUGGAAUAGGAUAUUGUUCAUCAGUUGGAGGUUGUAAGAGAAUUCUAUGGAUGAAGACAUCUUUUCCAGCAAAAUCUCCUACAGCUAUUUGAGCAUGAAUGACAUGUUUCCUCAAACUUUUACAAAUUAAUCUUGUUCCAUUGCAAAGACCCUCAGUAGGGUCGAGUUUUCUAAGCAAUAUCACAGGAACACCAGGUUUCAAGAUUAGUUUAUAGGGUGGAAGGCCACUGGGAGAUAAGGAGUUUAAAAAAUCUUCAUAUUGAACUUGGUUGUUUGGAUUCAAAGCUCGAUCGAAACUCAGAUAUUCUACUGCUGUACCUGGAAAUUUAUCAAUUAAGAUAUCAUUCACUUCAUCCACAAAAUGAUUCUUUGUGGUGAGGAUUGCUCGAUUUAAUGGCAAGGCAGGAUUUUCUGAUCUAUAAUGAAUGUGGGGAUAAACCACAUUUAUCAGAUCAUGUAGUGAUGCAUUCUGUGAACCGUUGCUAACCAAAAUAGAAGAAGGCAGGUAUAUGAGACUGUCAUCUUCAGCUUGGUCAGUGCCAUCACCAACCCUUAAUAAGUAAUCAGUGAAUGAGGGAGCAAAUCGAGCCCUCAUGUUUUGUGUGAACUCUAAUUUUUCAAGAGCUGGCCAGAUAGGGGAAUUAAUCAAAGAAGCAGCAAUGGUUUCAGAUUGGCUUCCCUUACGAACCACUGGUAAGGUUUACCUGAAAUCACCCCCAAGAAUAAUUACUUUCCCACCAAAGAUCUUAUCUGAAUUCAUAAGAUCUUUAAGAAAAUCAUUUAACGCUUCAAUCGCAGAUCUCUUGCACAUUGGAGCCUCAUCCCAAAUAAUUAAUUUGCAUUCCUUAAUCAUACUUGCCAAACUGCUUUGUUUACUAAUUUUGCAUGCUCUGCCCUUUGAGGUAUCAAUUGGUAUUUUAAACCGAGAGUGGGCGGUUCUACCUCCAGGUAGCAUUGAUGCAGCAAUACCUGAUGUGGCUGUCGCUAAUGUUAUAUAGCCCUUUGAUCUAAUAUCAGCUAACAACGCUCUAUAAAGAAAAGAUUUUCCAGUUCCACCAGGGCCAUCAACAAAAAAUGCACCACUCUUAUUUUCAUAAACUCUUUUAGAUAUAGCUUCAAAUGCAUGCCUUUGGUUCUGAUUAAGCAAAGAAAUCGCAUUUAAGUCCUCUUCAAAAACUUUUAUGCUUUUUUCAGCCAAUACAUCUCUUGUUUGGUUGUCUACAUCUGAGAAUGAGAAAUUAUUAGGAAGUAAGCCAAAUGAAACUAUAUUUUUUCCCAUUGACUGUAGAAAACCAUUUAUUUGCUCUAAAACUUUUCGUUUGAUUUCUCUAGGAGACAAAUCAGUAUUUCUCAUGAAAUCUUCGGACAUGACAGCCUCAAAUUUUGUCCAUAGCUGUUUGGGGUCACUAGGACAGGAAUAAACUAAUAGCGUAUCAAAAAGUCGUCUCAUUUCAUAAGGCAUAUGAAAAAGAGACGCUUCUUGUAGGCAAAUUUCCUGGCUAUUAUCAUUCUCAAGUAGGCCACGCAAGAGAGUUGCUUCACGAAAGGUGGUAACUUGUACUUCAUUAUGAGUCAUUAAGUCUUCAAAAGACUUUGGAGCACGAACUUUAGACAAAAGAAGUCUAAGGUAAUAUCUUUCUCCCUCAGAUGGAUGAGCUGUAUUUAUUCGGCCUAUAAAAUCUCCCCUAUCUCUAAUUUUCCAGCGUUUUUGAUCAGCUAACCAGACAAAAUGGUCUGAAAAUUGAACGUAUAUGCAAUUUAGUUCUUGUGCAACUGAAUCUGUUCUAUUCAUAUAGAAAAAUUCAGUCAACAUUGUCUUCCUAUUUCUUGGAUUUUUGACUAUGUUAUUUAAAUUUUCAUGCUUCUUGAAGUGAAUUGGCUGAAAAUUUGGAAGAUGCAAUUGAAGGUGAAUGAUAGCUGGUUUAAUUUCUCCCAUGGAAAAUCGAAAUAAUCGCCAAACAGCUUCAGGCGGGAAAACCCACCGAGCUGCCUGAUAUUGCUGAAUUUCAUCAAUCUGAUUGUUUGGAUUAUCAGAAUUGAUAUGGAAACUGAUUCGAUCAUGUCCUUUGCAGAUAUACUUGUAAAUAUAUUUGACAACCUGAAUUGUUGAGCAGAUCUCAACAUUAAUGUGGCAAUUGAACUUAGCAAGUAAAUAUGCAUUAUGAGGAACAACCCAUGUAUUAUCAAGUUUUUGUUUUCUGACUUUAAUUUUAACACCAUUGUUUCUUCUUCGGUAUUGUGGAUAGGAAUCUAGCGUCUGAAUUGUCUGCUCAGAAAACUCUUUUGGAUAAGAAUUUUUGCAGCAGCCAUGCUUAGUCAUGCAAACAUUUGAUGGGUUCAACACACCACAAGGGCCGUGCAUCAUGUGUUUUUUAACCAUUCUGUACAGGUGCGGAUAUUUUGUUUUACCUGGAAUUUCUGCACUGACAAUUUUAUCAUAUUCAUCAGGGAUGAACAUUUUGUGCUGAGGCUUUAAGAUUAAAAGAAAAUGAACAUGUGGCAGGCCUCUUUUGUGAAAUUCUAUCACAUAUGUAUAGGCUGCCACUUCUCCAAAAAUAUUUUUCUUCAAAAGUUCAUUCUUUAAUUCUUCUAGUUUAGCACGAAAGACCCUUACAACCAAAUCUGGUCGAUUUUGGGCUUCCUCUGUCGGCAGUAAAUGUUCUUUUAUUUCUGGCCAAUUGGGAUUGCAAGUCAUGGUCAAGAAUAUAUCCGGCUUGCCAAAUUUUUGGACCAAAGUCAUUGCAUCUAUGUAUUUUCUUCUCAUAUUUCUUGGUCCUCCAAUAAAGCUAGCUGGUAAAAAUACUCUUUGACCUACAUUUGCUGCCCGGACUUCACCAGUACCUAUUGAGUCUACUAUACCUUGUAAGAACUCUUUUCUAAAUUCUUCUUGCUGGGUUCUCAAAUAAUCUAAUCUUUGUGAUUCAAGUUUAACAUACAUAUCAACAACAUAUUGCUGAAAUAGCCUACCAAAGUGCAAUAAGAAAGAUUCAUCAUCAUUUCUCAUUUGCAAUUUAUAGACAUAGUAUUCACGGAUGGAAACGAAAUCAGGAUCGCCGUCUAUUCCUGCCAUUACUGGUUGAAGGAAUUUAGAAAGAAGGUUAAUGAGGCUGGCAUGCUAAAAUUAAUAGAAUACAGGUGGAAAAGAUUUAUUCUACUUACAGUCUUGUUCCAUUUGUAUUAACUCUUCGGCAGUAGAAGCAUUCAUUGGAGAAAUAGAAAUUUGAGCAUCCCUUUUCCUAGUCUUUUUUUUGUGCACCUUUUUCCCGUGUUUUUUAAUCCCUUGAUGCCAACCAGAUUCACCAAAAGGAAGCAAAAGAGGGUACUGGAGAGGGUCAUAACAGCCAUAGUAAUAUUGGAUAUUGUGUGAAUGGCCACCAUGGGUGUACACUCGAAUAUCUCGACGGCUUGUUUCUCCAUUUUCUUCUCCUUCUACCCAUAAAGCAGCAACUUGGGACACUGUAGGCUUAUUGAAUACUCUUUGGUCUAAACCAGGGUGUGUUCGUAAAACAAUGCGAUAAGUAUCAAGGUUAUGAACCUCUCUCAAGCCGUGAAAGAAUCUAGCAUAGGGAUUUUGCUGCAUGAGAUUCAUGGUUUUUUGGAGAAUACUCUCAGUUAAUCUUGGGUAGGCAUCUAAUCGAUUUGCUAAUUCAUUUUCACUGCCAUGAAAAUAGAAUUGCAAAUUUUUUGAGGUCUUUAAAUCAUUGAUGAAAUGAUAGACCUGACCUUACACUUUAAAAGUAUAAAUGCCCUUAUUUCUCUUAGCCAAAUUUUUAUCACAUUUUACUCCAAAGGAAGUGAAAGCAAAUGUGUUAUUAAUGGUUCUAAUACAGGUCCUAAACAGUUGAGCUUCCUCAGAUGAUGACAUAAGAAGUUCUUUUAGAACAGUUGGGAUUGAAUUGCUAGCUAAAAUAACAUCCCCAUUAGAAUAACAAAAAUUUGCUGUUUCAUGAGCAAAUUUUUUGCACUACAAUGGGGACAGUUGCAUUGGCGAGGAAGCAGAUCAGCAGCAGUAGGAAUGUGAUUUAAGACCUCCCGACCUGUUUUUGGCGUUCUUGCUAUAAUCGACAAAGAAAAGAUAUCUAGUUAUUCAUUUUGUGUAAUGCAGGGAAGUAGAAAUUAAAAAACUGAAGCUAGUAAGACAUUAAAAAGUUUACAAAACCUGCACGCUUUCUCUUAGGCUUUACUUGGUUUGAUUGGAGUAUGGCUCUAUCUAUUCCUUAAGUGUUUGCUACCGAAACUGGAUAGAAUAUGGUAUAAGUUAAACAAAAGCGCUAAGGGGUAUAGUAGGUAAAAAGUCUAUGUUUAUGGGAAAGCUUUAUCUAAGGUUAAAGUUUUUUCAUGGUACACUAAAGGGGCUGGAAAACACUGUUUGUAAAAGGAUGAUCAUUCUAGUAGCCAAGUGAAUUGUUCUAAAUGUGAAAAGGUCACGAAAAAUGUAUAAAAUUAAUUUUAUAGUUUAUAGAAUGAUAAGUUAGAGUAAUUGAUUUAAUUCUAAGAUUGAAGGCAUAGGAAGCUGGAAUUUAUAAAAAAGGCUUUAAAAGACAAAAUGAGUUUAAAAUAAAAUCACAUAAUAUUUUUAAUGUUACAGACCUAUUUUGGUUGACAGUGAAUAGAAGGCAUAUACUUUUACAAAAGCUUAAAACGGUUAACUUGGAAAAUAUGCAGAAAUUAGUGAAAAUAAUGAUAUGAAUAAAAUACUGGUAUGAAACUGUAUGAGCUGGUUUGACUUUAAUAGCAUAUUAAUGGAGGGGAUUAAGGCAAGCACCUGUGGAUUCAUAUUGAAUUGAUUUUGAUUGCACAGUAUCCACUGCAGGGAUGGCAACAAUUGAAGGAAGAGGAAGUUGAGGUUUGGUAGGCGAACUUUUAGAUUUCUUUUUUUCUUGGCACCUUUUAUGUUUUAGUAUCACAGAUCUUUGCCUUCUAUUAUUUGCUGCAACAGGAUUUUUUGUUGCCAAGAAUUCAGAUGGCGCAUUGACAAUUGAAUGCACCAUAUUUGAACUUGCAAACAGCAAAGUAGCUGGGUUCACAGGACGAGGCAUACUAGACUCAAUAGGGUGAGUCACAAACCUAGAGCAGCUAGCAUUUUGAGCUUCUAUUUGCUCUGUUUCGUGCAUACAAUGCAUCUGAGAUAUAUCAGGUUUUAAUGUAAGAUGAUCCUCUUUGUUAUAGGCUAUACUGGAAGGCUCAAGUGGUGCAAAUAUAAAUGACAUAUUCAUGGAUGCUUCUGUGUCAUUUGAAUUGGUUGGCAGGAUAGAAUGGACGUUCGGGCGUCUAAGAAGAAAUGGCUGAUGUGAUUCUAGAGAUAUGGAGUGAAGCAAGCCAUCUCUUUGGGAUUUUUUGUUUCUAUAUCCCAUAUUUUUUUGACUUCCAUUAUUUCUUAUAGCAAGAAAUUGAUUUUGUAGAAAUGGAAGUGAUCUACUCAUAGAUAGUUGGCUGUUAUUUGGCCCUAUAGGAAGCAAGUGAGGAACAUUAAUUACAUUUGAGGGUCUCGAGCCACGAAGUCGCGAUAGCCUAUCUAACCGUUUUUGCCUCCAUCUUUGAAUAGCUUGUUUUCUAUAACUAACUUUAUCCAUAUUUUUGAGUCACCUCAAAUGGAGGAAUGCCAGUAGCAUUCUCAGAAGGCUCGUUUGUGACAAAAUAUAUAAGAAAAGAAGGAUGCUAGUCCAUCAAGGCAGACAGGAUAAAAUAGCUAAUGGAACUUCUCUAAUGUAAUGACUGACUAUCAGAUAUCUCGAUCACAAUUUAGUCAAUCAUAUAAUUGGUCUAUAUUAUAUGGUUGUUUAUAUACUCUUACGCAAACAAUAUUAGACAAUCAAAUAAACAGAAAGCAACUACAGAAUAAAUGUAAAACCAACUGGACAUACGACUAAACAGAGGUUAAAGGAAUUGAGGAUAUAGAGCCAUCAAAGUCUAAUAGCAAAAGCAUAAAAAAACAUGAACUAAGGAGACAAUACAGCUAACAACAGGUUUUUUUGUGUAAAAGUCAGGCUGAAGCAUUAGGCAUACCUGGUAACAGCAACGAUAAAUCAAAUAGGGAAAUGCAAAAAGCUUUGCGCCUAGGAUGAGGUGUACAUUAUCCAAGCAACAAAACACAGGAAAAAAAAAAUAUCAGGGAAAGAGCAUAGACAAAAGGGGGCAAAGAAAAACAGUAAAUGAUAAUGCUUGCAUUAGUUUGCUAUAUGAGCUGUUGAGCUAUAAAGUUGUAAUCAAUUUAGAUACAUUAAGAUGUUCCAAGUAUGGGUUAUAAGUUCAUGAUGUCUGGGAAUUGGGAUUAGCAUCCAUUACUGUAAUUUAUUUAAAUUGCUGAUAAAAUGAUAAUUGUCCAUGCCCCAUAUUAAGUGGUAAUUCUGGAGAGGGGAAAAAAGAUAAGUUACUGAAGAAAUAUGGAAAAUAAGAACAGAAAACAAAUAUAGAGCAGCUUCAAAGUUAGAGAAGGUAUCAAUUAAUGAAGUCCAGUUAUAAAGAUAAGAAAAUGUUCUCUACUCUUCAAGGCACAGAAACAAGUUUGAAAAGGACAUUAAAGUAUGUUCAUUACACCAAAGGAGAUCAAAAUCAGAAAUGAGUAUUGCAGCUUUAUGACCUUAAGAAAUCCAUUUAGUCCACAAAGACAAGACCGACUCCCAUAAGUGGCACUUUCACCUUUGUCAAAUACAUGAAUGAUUAAAAGCAGCCAACUCCUCAAUUCAAGAACUACAUCCUACUGCAAUUUGUUUUCUUCCCGAUUCAGCUCGAAUGGUAGUCAAAUUAAUGCUAUUAGGGGACCUAAUGAUACAUCUAGAUAAGAUUAACAUAUAUAUUUACACAUACUUCUGCAAUUUCAAGCCAAAAAAUAGAGUGUAUGUACUUGGGAUAAAACAGGCAUAAUAACCUAAGAUGUUCAACUGCUAGGCAUAUAAAUGAGUGAAUGAGCUUUGAGUAAAAAGACUACAAUGAAUAACAGACGAAGAAUGGUCUACAUACAAUAUCCUUAAAAAAUAACCAUUGAGUUUUUCAUUGCCCCAGACAAGUCUAGCGUAAACGAAACAGCAAACAAGGAACACACUAAGUAAGCAAUUAGAAACAAGAAGUACAAAGUCUUAAGCUGCUUAACCAAUAGGCAUUUAGAUCACUAAAAAAGGCUGGCCAGCUUAAUAUUAUCUUAAAAAUAGAUAAGCACUCCCAUUCCUCAUUUAGAACAACAACAGGUCACAUAUAGCAAACAUGUAUAUUGUAAGAAAAACUAACUUAGAGUCUGUAUAGCUUCAUUGUGAUUAAAGACCAAAGCAUCAGUACCAGGAGGUUGGAAAUGACUUUGGUGCAUAAAAUCUGUUAUUGAUGUCCAUCACUACAAUUUUUUUUCUAGUGUGUAUAUAGCAAUUUGACUAUUUGAUAGAACACUCAUUAUAUGCAAACCAAAAGGACAGCUUAGUUACUUAGAAUAACAUCAGCAAAUGGGUUAACAGCUUUUAAUUCUGAGCAAUAAUUUGUUAUUUAGUCUAUUCUAGGCAUGAGAUACCUACCAAAAAAAAAUCUAAGCUUGAGAUAAUCAAGCUGUCAUAGACAUAAUGAAUGCCUGUUGUCUAAUAUGACUUGACAUUUUCAAGAGCUUUUGCUUACUUUAACUACCUUAAGAUCAUACAUUAGAGUCAAGUUGAAAUCUUAGCUAAAAUUUUAAUGGCAGAUUAGUGUUUGCGUUGAAGCUUUGGGUCGAACUGUGAAAAUGAUUCCAGGAAGAGAAGCUAUUGAUUUUCCAUAGAAAGUUUGAAAUACUGCAUUUAUUUGUGUUGAAAUAUAUAGGAGGCAAAUGGAGAAUUUUAAAGUUGAAAAACCUAAUAAAAUCAUCAGAAAAUGUUAGUGUAUGAUGGAGCAGUUAACCCUAUCGAAUAUUAGUAGUGAAAAUGAAGUCAAGAUUCAAAAAUGAUAUCCAGAAAAGCUAAAAGUUCAAGAGUCUAAUAAGAAAGCGACAACAUUGUACCAAACAACAUAAGCAAGAAAGACACAAGGCCAUUUUAUGUUUGACAGUUUACAUGGAAUGUGGAUACGCAUAUUUUCAACUUGAUAAUUGAGUAACAAUACUUUUUUAUUGUGUUUGCACAAAAUUAGUUUUAUGCAAAAAAAUUAAAAAUAGUUAAGAGGCAUAAAAAUUUAAAAAUAGUUUUAGAAAAAGAUCACAGUAGAUUAUAUCAACUAUCCGCAAAGCACCAAGCAAGUUUUAUUGAUUUCCAAUUUUUCGGCAAAACUAAUUAAAAUAUAAUUAUAUACUACAAAAAAAGAAUAAAAUUGGAUGAUUACCAUGAUAAUGAACAUUUGCAAUAAAUUCAGGAUUUUCUCAUUGUAUUUAUAGAAUCGGAAUUCAUCAGGAAAAAUUUGAAAGCUUGCAAGGUUUCAUCUAGUGUAUUGGAAAUAAUUAAAAUGUGUCUUUUCUAUUCUUUAGUUCCUACAAAAAUAUAAGCAGAGUAAUUGACUCUUGAAGCUCAGUUACUCUUCCAAGUUGGUCCAUCCGUAUGUACUUCUUUUGAAUGUUAUUAAAUUUCAAAUAUUGUUAAUAUUGAACUUGUUACAGAAGGCUAUGGUAAUGACAAGUACAAUAGUGCUUAGGAUAGAAAAGUUAUGAUUUCUAGACUACAUUAAAUAACUUUGGACACAAUAUUAUGCUGAAAUAAUUGUUGUUAGGCAACAAUAUGAGAUUUACUUAACCCAUCAAUUUCUCCUGUACACAGGCUUACCCAAGCAAGGGGUUCAACCUGAUGUCCUUUGUGUUGAUUUAUAGCAUGCAUAUGCGCUUCACAAGGGGAAUAGUGAACUUGGUACUUCAACCUUUAAAGCUGGCCAGAUUGAAUUAAUUGGAACUUCAAUCUUUAAAGCUAGCCAGAUUGAAUUAACUACGUCACAGUUUAAGGCCAGAAUAUGAUAAAGAUAGCAUACAAUCAACUAUUCCACACACCUCAUAAUGCAUCCUUUACAACCCAAUAUUCAUCGUUUAAACUGGUACCCAGCAAUAUUUUUGUAAGCCCAUGUCUAUAAGAAAGAUUUUUAAUCAAAUAUUUCAAAUUAACAAAAUCACCUGCUCAAAUAAGCAAUCGUUUGUUUCAUAAAGGAUGACACAAAACAAAUAGCACCAAUAAACUUAAAAUAAAUGAAGCAGAAACUGAAGAAAAACUACUAAAAAGAAAAGGGAAAGGUGAAAUUUCACUUAUGAAAAUAUAGGCACUUAAAUAAAGAAAAAAUGUUGAUAGAUUGAAGGAAGGCAACAAACUGACCUUCAAGUUAAAAGAUUCCUCGAAGGAACUGCAGCAAAAGGAACCUAUGAAUUGAAAAUAUCUGUAUAUUAGAAUUUAUUAAUCUGCGAACUAUUCAUAAGAGGAAAAUUUGGCAAAAAAAAGGGGGAGUUUUUUUCUCACCAGAGAGGACUCCAAAGAACAAGGCGUAAAGGCUCGGAGGCUUCUUCUUGCAGUUCACAAGGCAGAGAAGGCAGCAGGAUGCACUGAUAAAUACGUCCAUCCCAUUUUUUUUUGAUUUCGUAAGCCACUGGAAAAGGUACAGGCUAAGUGAAUAGGAACCCUAUUUCUCAGCAUAACUGGAAUAAGAGAAAAAUCACAUCCAAGCAGAUAUUUCUAAUCGUAAUCAUACGGAUGAUGAAAGUUGAAUAGAAAGCAUAAUUUGGGCGGAAAAUUGAAUACCAAAGUUGAUUAGAAUAGAAUGGCAUACCUAAUAAAAAGUUCUCCAUCUCACUCCUUUGAAGUACAACUAUCACGUGAGGCUCCAACAAUUCGGCAACAUGAGAUGAAAUUGAUACAGAAACGGGUUAAUUGGAUAUUAGAGAAAGAGGGAAAAACGGCUAGUGUAAGCAAAGUAGUUCACCUACACCCAAUUCUCCUGCUCUAAAGUACAAAGACCAUGUGAAUGAUCAGCAAAUCAAGCACCUGCAGGAGUAGCAGCUAACCUGCUGGCUUAAAGAAGAAAGUCACAAAACCCAUCGCCCAAAUCAUAGAAAAUCCAAACUUUUUACAUGGCUGAAGAGGGUUGUUGACCUGCUGGGUUUGGUAGCACAGACGGCUGGAAUUGGGCUUGCUCAGGAUAGGUGCGCCGAAUUUGUGCUCAGAAUAGCCGUGUGGUAGAGGAAAGGGAGGAAAAGGGUUCAACGGCAAUUUGGGAAAGAGACAGUGCAAUGGCAAAAGAAGGAAAAGGAAUAGAAGGCUUGAAGAGGGGUGUUGACCGGCUGGGUUUGGUAGCAUAGCCGGUUGGGAUUGGACUUGCGCAAAAUAGGUGUACUGAAUUUUGCUCAGAAUAGGCGCGUGGUAGAGAGAGCAGGAAAACGCUUCAAUGCAAUUUGAGGGAAAAACGGUGCAAUGGCAAAAGAAGGAAAAGAAAUAGCAAGCUUCGCACAAGAGAAACUUUAGACAAUUUGCAAGGAAAUUCUUUACCUUGCCACCUGUCAGAUAAUUAAGAAGCCAUGUGGCAAGAGGAAAGGAAAGCAUUAAAUCUGGCUCUUUUCUUAUAGAAUAGGCGCGUGGUAGAGAGAGCAGGAAAACGCUUCAAUGCAAUUUGAGGGAAAAACGGUGCAAUGGCAAAAGAAGGAAAAGAAAUAGCAGGCUUCGCACAAGAGAAGCUUUAGACAAUUUGCAAGGAAAUCCUUUACCUUGCCACCUGUCAGAUAAUUAAGAAGCCAUGUGGCAAGAGGAAAGGAAAGCAUUAAAUCUAGUUCUUUUCUUACAUACAAGGUAGAUAUCAAUAGUUUUAGGAUAGUUUAGUUUAGUUUUGAGUUUUUCUUCUUUUUCCUUUUGUCAGGCGCACGCCAACUGUUCGACAAUAUUUUCCAAUGGAAAAAAUAUCUUUUACUCUUGCUUUCUAGUGAAAAACGGGAUGCCUUUGCACUCAAUUAAUUUGCAUGAAGAUUUAUUCAAGAGGCGUGGCUAAACCUUCCAUCUAGUCGAAGGCCAACUUAAAGGCGCGGUUCCAAAUAUCUGUGAGAUCGAAUUAAUUUUAUUUAUUUCUUUUAUUCAUUGGUAUUUGUACGUUUCCUGAUUUAAUUGCUUAUGCUUGUUAUGUUAUUUGAAUAUCAAUGGCCCGAUAUUCAAAUUAACUUAAUGAUCUAAUGCCAAAUUAAUUGAUUGAAUCCGUAAUUGUUCAAUUGAUUAAUACCAGUGGCGACUAGCGUGAUUGGUUUCAUGUUAGGGAAACGUAUGAUCUAAUUUAAACAAACCCUCGUAGCGUGUUUGUUGGUUAGGGUUGGGCUUUUCUAAUUAUUAAUGCAAUCGAGUAAUUAAAUCCUAUGGUCGUAUCUAGGGUUAUUACUUGGUUAGAGAAAUAGUUAACGGUCGUACCUUAAUUAUCAAAAAAUUAAGGAAAUGCUGGUUGUUCAUCGCGUGUAUGACAACUACAACCAAUCUAGUAGUGAGUAAUUGAAUUAUCUUUGCAUCGAUGAUCAGUUGAAUGGACCGUGUCUGAAAAGUUGCAUCUUUGGCUAGAGUCAUAUUGGUUAUUGAUUAAUUUCUAUUAAUUUCUAUUAGUUGUUGUAUUAGUUAGUUAAUUAGUUAUUUUAUAUUCACCAAAAAUCCCCCAUACUUUGGACUCUAAAAGAAACGAAUUAUCCCCAAUCCCUGUGGAUUCGACCCUACUCACCGCUAUAUUCAGAAUCUAUAUUUUUUUUGAGUAGGUAAUUAUUAUUGCAUAUGUUCGACACCCUGUCAAUUUUUGGCGCCGUUGUCGGGAACUGGUGCUAGAUUAAUUUGUUUCUUUUUUUUUAGUUCAUUUUAUUUUCAUUUUUUUUGUAAAUUUAUUUUCCUCAUUUUUUUUGUAUAUAGUUGAUGGCUGCUAACAUUCCGUGUUUUGGUGAUAGAUUGGAUUUUGUUUCCAGGGAAGGCAAUAAGACUUGUUUUUUUUUUUUCUAAGUUUGCAUAUUCAGAGGUACUAAACUCUCUUAGAGAAAGAAUGGCUGCUGCAACCUGUGAAAUUUGUUAUGCCUGGGAUCAUUCAACCGGUAUGUGCCCCGAAUAUCAAGACUACCUGAGUGACUAUUUCAAAAAAAAAUUUGGAGAUUCUUCACCUCGAUCUCAAACGUGGUAUGACCCUUAUUCAAAACGGUAUGAUCAAGGAUGGUGGGAUAACUCCAACGUUAAUUAUGAAAAGGGACCAAUGAGUUUUUAACAGCAAGAGUCUCAACAAUCGUCAUUCAUGUCAGAAUUGCCCUCACAGACCAUCAAUGACUCUAAGGAAGGUGAGAGUGCAAUUAUCCUGACAAGUGAUAUGGAACUGCAAGAGUCUCAAGAAGGAGGAUCCAAAAAUGCAGUUGAAAAGGAAGUUGAAGUGGAAGACAUGAGACUCCAACAUCAAAUUACCCUAGUGAACGAAUCCAGUAAGCAAUUACUAAAUGCGAUGACACCCACUCCAUCCCUUAAUCUAUAUUCCCCUGACUCUUACUCUAUAAUUUCUGUUAAUGAGAUUGAUUUUGUUAUACCGGAAGUGUUUGAGUCUCAUUGCAGAAAUGAGUUAAGAGUAGCUAAUUAGUUAUUUUAUAUUCUCCAAAAACCCCCCAUACUUUGGACUCUAAAAGAAACGAAUUAUCCCCGGUCCCUGUGGAUUCGACUCUGCUCACCGCUAUAUUCAGAAUUUGUAUUUUUCUUGAAUAGGUAAUUAUUAUUGCACAGGCUCGACACCCUGUCACAAAUUAUGCCAGAUAAAUAGUUCCAAAAUUCAAUUGAAGUUGGAGUUGUUUUAUCACCAAUUGACUGAAACUAUAGCAAAUUUAGUACUACCGAAAAAUUAUACGGACAAACAUAUUCUUAUCUUUUGAAGAUCCUUGUAAAUACUUUAUUACAAUUUUAACAAAAACAAAGCUCCCAAAGUAGUUAAAAAUGGAUCUUAAUUUAUACAAGUUAAUAACUUCAAUUUCUAAUAAUUUGUAAAAUCUUUACCUACUUAAUUUAUCAGCUAUUGCACCAAAUGAAAUGAUUGUUAGAUGUUAUCAUACAGUAGCAUUUGACAAAUUUGACCAAAACUCAUUCUUAUAUAGCAUAAAGACAUCUGGGUAUUUUUGGACUGAGGGAUUAUUUUGCAAUCAUUAGUGCAUUGGGUACAACUAAUAUAAGCAUAUGUAUUGGUGUAAUUUACUGAAAUGGUGUCAUAGUGCAAUUAAAAUAAAGAGACUUGCAGCUAUUCAUUCAAUUAUGUGAAACAACUCAUAAUAAUACCAAUGCAUGAAUUCCCAUGUUAGAAACCCCUGUCUUUGAAACAGCUUCCAUACCAGCAAUAUACCACUAUUUACAUCUCAAUUAAACAGCCAAAAACAUAGGUAUGUUGAUGAUUUAAUGUCUAAGUAUCGAUUAUGAUUGUUCCAAUGUCUCCUCUUUCACAUUCUUCCUUUUGGUCCCUUUUCGGCUUCCAGGAUUAGGUUUAAUGCCCUCUAAAUUACUCCAUUAUCCAUGCAUUUCCUUUUACUCAUAUUAAGUAGGAUUCGGUUAAUAUGCAUUAUUAUUUACAAUAAUUUUAUUAAUAUUACUUAAUAUGCAUUGUUAUCUUACUCUUAUAUUUAUUCACUUGCUCACCUUGCAACAAUAUGGAUGAUAUGUACCGAUAGGUUCUUGAUCAAAAAUAACUUAUUGGUUAAUAUGGAAAUAAUAUUCAUUUCAACCACUAAAAAAUUCUCUUUAAUCACAGGCACUAAACACCUGCGCGAUACGCGGGCACCUCCUCCUAGUAUUAGAAACAUAAAAGUUACAAGAAUUAUUUAUGUAGUUAAAACUUCUCUGAAUUGUCAAAAAAUUGCCUUAUAUGUUGAGAGUUUUUACAACAUUAUAGGAGGACUUCUUGAUGGUUUAAGCAAUGAAAUAUAUAUAUAUAUUCAAUUGAAGCAUUGACAGAUUGAGAGAGUCAAUCACCCAUUAUUUAGCACGUAUUGCUGAAAAGGUUGAUCACCCAUUAAUUUCUACGUAUUAUCUAAGUUGUAAUAAUAUGCACGAGUAAAUAGAAUAUCAGUAAGGUGAACAUACGACUUGGCUAGGAAAUUACCAUUAUCCAUGUAACUUGAAAGAAAGCGGUACAAGAAAUUCCUAUAAAUUUAUGAACAUCAACUUGUCAGUUAAAACAGCAUUUGCAUAUGGAAUUGUAAUAAAAUACCAUAAUAUAUUGUGAAAUCUCAAGCUUGAAAUGGAAAUCCAUCGGCUACUAAAGUGGAAUUGGAUCACUUUCAUGCCUUGAGAAUUCAGAAUGCAGAAUGGACAUUUUGAUACUGCCAAAUACAAAGUGAAGCUUCAAGUGAAAACAACUACGCUAACGGUUUCCCAACUUCAACUAAAACUCUCUACUCUCAACUUGAGAUCAUAUACACACGAACCCCACAAGAACUGCUGCUUAUCAACCGACAAACGAAAAAAGAAAUGAUGCUUUACCAAAACUUGGGAUUUGCAAGCGAUUUAGACCAAGAAAACAUAAGUUAGAAGCCAAAGAAGAAUACACAGAGAGCAGCCACACUACAAAAUAUUUGGGAGCUGAGAAUCCAAUCUUUGCUGCAAUUCCUUGAUUUUCAUGGAGAGCUCAGACUUCUGCUCCUUAUAGUUCUGCAAAAGGUAGUCUUUUCCAUCUAUAACUUCCCUCAACUCAUUAACUUCCCUUCGCAGCAUUUCAAUUUUGCCACCGUUUCUGUCUUUCUCCAAGGAAUCCAAAUGUCCCUCAACUUCGGAAUACUCAUUCAAAUGGCCAUUCCUUAGUUCAGCAGGCCAAACAGGUGCGGAGCUAAGCUUAUCACCACAAUUGUCUUGUCCCACACAAUGAUCUGCAAUUACUUUCCUCAACCUCUGUAUUUCUCUCUCUGAGUCAAACAGAUCUCUGUUUGCAGCAUCUAGCAGUGCUUGCAGCUGGGUAGAGUGUGUUAGCUGAGUGCUGAGGGAAUUCUGCAGUUCUACAAUCUGAUCUUGCAUCUCUAUUAUCAUGUCAUCCCGUCUCUUCAGCUGUUGCCUCAGCUUCUGAAUCACUUCUCGAUUACUGAAAAUGUCAGAACCAGCUUCAGAGACGCAAGGUGAAUCAGAACUGUUAGAAUGGUGGAAUGGUUUCUGAGGAAGCUCAAGGCGGUCAGGAGAUGACGCCCAGAUUACCCCAUUCUCUUUGCUGAACUCAGAAGAAGAAACUUUAACAAGAGGCAGUGCCAUUUCAGGUUCUGACAGAACUUGGCCAUUGCGCUGCUGUUUGAUCUCCAUUACAUUCACAGAUCCUAUUCAUUAAUCAAUUACCAGAAAUUACACAAAAUGAACCAGAGAAUUAUAUAGGGACAUAAAUAAAAUCCUGAAUACAUCCAGAAUCAGCAAAAAGGUCUUUAAGUUUUCAUGGAACUACAUAAAAAAAAUUUUGAGGAGAUAUUCCUUAUAAUACAGAAAGACAAGAAUCUAAGAUGUGAAGCAACCACUCCACAAAGAACAGCAGCAAGACCAAUAUAAACCUAAAAGAAGGUGGAGGUAAACAUAUACCGGACAAUCAAUAUCCAGGAGAAAUUUAAAAGACAAAUCAAGCAAUUUUUCAUUUUUCAUUCAGGAGAAAUUUAAAAGACAAAAGAACCAUUUUUCAUCUUUGAAGUGUCAAUUCUAUGAAAAUUGUGCAAAACAAGCAAAUGCAUCUUAUUUCUCGGACAUAGUUGUAAGAAUACCCCCACAUGUAUGAAACAGCACCGAUUGCAUGCCCUACCAAAGUGUGCAUCAAGCAACAACCAUGUUCAGCUGGAGCAAUAACCUAUAUACCAAAAAUCUGAAUGGAUAUUUGUUCUAAAAAAGGAAAAUAACUUCCAGCUGAAGGGGAAUUAAGGCUAGAGAGAAGCCAGACCAGAAAGGCAAUUGCAGCAAGCAUUCCCAUCUUGAUGAAAAGAAUAUGCAUUUGGAUGCAAACUGCAGCUCCCUGACUUCUUUCUCUCUGUAAAUUUUCCACUCCCUGAAUUGUCAAACAACUCUUCAAGACAAAACCAUGAAGAAAUAUGAAAAGGAGAAAUGAAAUUUAUUCAUAUGUCAUAUAACCUUUCAAGCUGUUGCUGGUAUUGUCCGGUGGCUUCAUGUCAAGCACCUGUUUCAGCUUGUAACCCAACCUAAUCGAUAACGUACUUAGCAAAGCACCACCAGCAAUAAGGACCCAAUUAGGCCCCUCGCUCUGAAAGCCUUUCUGCCUCUGGGUUCUAGGAACCCCAUUUGCUAUUGGUUUCAUUGCUGGAAGGUACUAAUAAGAUUGCUCGGGACAACCAAGUGCAUCCAGGACCUAAAUAGAAAUGGACCACAUACAUUUGGUGAGAAAAAGAAAGGUAGCGGGCCACAAUGUAGAUCUAGGGCUGCAAAAACAGUGGGUUUUUUUUAUUAAAUACAUAAUACUGCUAAUAAUCAAGCACAAAUUUUGCAAACAGUAAACUGAUGCCUUGUUACAGAGUUUGCCAUCCCUGGUCAUAAAGAAGUUCAAUAUACCAAAGCCAAAAGGCUCUGUCUGUUUUUCUAGAUUAUUUACUUCACUAACUUCUUGUGAUUGAGCAAAAGGACACAAAAGGGGAACACGAAUGCCAAUUUGGGAAUUGAUACAAUUAAAAUGCUGUUUCAUUAAAUUAUCGAAUUUGACAACCUACAUUUCCAUCACAAAUUUAUCACAGUAUCCGACUAAAGCCAAAAACACACAAUACUUGACACACACCGGCGUAAUAAUAAAUUAAGCCCGUUAAAAAAAGUACACAGAGAAAUCUAAACCAGUCCUUCCUUUAUUCAUCCCAUCAUCAAGCACAUUUCCAUUAUAAUCCACCCUUUCCAACGCUGAAAUUUCUGCAGACAACCACUUAAAAAAAGCCACAAAAGUACGCAACUCAAAAAUGGAAAAAAACACAAGUACUAAAAAUGAGGAAGAAUACGAGGCAGAGGAGUCCGUGUAUAUGAAAGAUGUACCUGACAAAGAAAGAAAGAAAAGGCUGAUUGGGGAUGAGGGCGGGGCACGGUGAGGCCGGCGGAGAACGGGAGGAUCACGGUGGAGCUGGAAAUGGCGGACGACUGGGGAGAAUGUGAACGUACAUUAUUUUAGGGUUUUGUCAGCCUAAAUUGGGAAUAGAAUGCUGAUACUUGGUGGGUUUUUGGCAUGAAGUGUUUAGAGUGUGCUGGACCAAUAGGCUUAACUGUCACAUUUCUUCUUUUAUCUUUUCUCUUUUAUUAUGUAAACUGUUUUUUCUUUAUGUCUCCACACUUUUUUUUUUUUUUUUUUUUUUUUUUUUUUUUUAUCGUCAUAGAGGUAUCUGGUAAUAUCUAAUGACCCAACUAAUCCUCGGCGGGUAGGGAGAGGCUACCCAACUUUUUCACCUACCGUUUUACCCGGGGUUCGAACCUGUGCGGUGAUACUCCCCGAGGGUACUACCACCAGCUCUAGCCCUGAGGGGCUUUUUUGUCUCCACACUUUAAAGUUGAGAUUUAUUAUGUAAACUGUUUUUCCUUUCUCAUUGUCUCUACCCUUUUAUUAACUUUUAAUUUUUCUAUAUUUAUGUCACAUUAUUUUGUUCAAGUUUAAAUAACUGGACUUAAGGUGCGUUUGAUAAAACUGAAGUCUGAAAAUUGAAGUCUAAAAUCUGAAUCCAUUAAGUUAUUAAAUUGUUAAAUAUUAAAUCUAAUACAUUUGAGUGUAUAUCACAUUCAGUGAUAAGUGAAUGACUUAUCACUUAUCACUUAAUUUUGGGAGCAAAUUUUAUUUAGAAAAUUCAGUGUCACUUAAUUAAUUCAGAUGUUCAAUUUUUGGUUAUCAAACGAUCUGAAUAUAUUAAGAUUUGAAUUUAUUAAAUUUAAGUGCUGAAUUGGAUUCUAAAGAAGUGAGAAUUUGUGUAAUUCUUGAAAUUAAAGUUGACAAAAGAUCACAGUUGAUAUUUUUUUAAUGUGCGCUUGGAGGCUUUACGUCGAUGAAUGUGCGUUACACCAGUGCAUAUGGAGUUAAGCGGUACGAGUUUCUCAACUUUCAAGUGUAAAUUUCAAAGACAUAAGGUCCACAGAUUUUGUGCGAUUUGAGUUUCUCAACUUUCAAGUGUAAAUUCCGUUGGAGAAAGUAUAUAGAUUUUGUACUUUAGAGAUUGUUGGGUGAUUGAUAAUUUUACAUGCGAGAAAUUUUGAGAAUCUCACCAUUGGAAAAGUUUGAAAAGUUGGAGCAGUGACUGCAAUUAAGCCAAAUCCUUGUGUUUUUACACGUAGAAAGCCUUAAAAAAAACAAAAAAUUAUUGAUUCCUUGUUGUUGUUAUUAUUUCCCAGGAGACUGCAGGGGACACAAUUAUUUCACCACAUGGACGAAAGUAUCCCAUAACAACGCAGAGAAACACUAAAGUGGGCUUCUCUUGCAUACAUUUUUUUUUAAUAGAACACUACUUUAUAUUAGGAAAAGGAGACUUAAAGAGUUUCAAAAUAAUCUGGAGGUGACUAAAUUAUCACCGAUUCAAACGGGUGCGUAGGCACACAUUGACGAUAUUUCAGAAAAGUCUGAAUUUUUAGAAUGUAGACAAGAGAAUUUGAUCAUUUGACCUACACCAAAAUAGAGUUUAAAAACUUUUUUGAUGGCCAACUACUUUAUAAGUAGUUGAUUGCUUCUUUAGCUUACAUUGCUUUGGUUGAAAUUCAUUUUUGACAAGCUGUAAUAACUCAUUUUCCGUUGGCAUUUAACAUGGAAAUAUUACUAUCUAGUACUUGUUAUUAAUAAUAAAAUGCAGUCGAAUUGAUAAGUACAGGUUCAAGUCAUUAAGGAGAUAAGUGAGAAGUAAUUGUUAAUCAUUUUAAAAGCAAAAAAAGAUGCAUUCAAGGAGACAAGAAGAAUGUGUAAGAAAGAAAGUUGAAAUCUUUUGAAAGAAAGGAAAAAAAAUAGAUGCAUUCAAGGAGACAAGGAAAGUGUGUAAGAAAGAAAGUAGAAACAAGUGCAUUUAGAUAGGAGAUUAUUUGAGAUAAUUUUUUUUUGAGAAAAAUUAUAGCAAUUUUUUAAUAUGAUGCAUGCAAAAUAAAAAAGAUGAUUGAAAAAUAUGUUUAUGAUGCAAGCAACUAAUUUUGUUUAAAUAACAAACUUAUCAAACAAACCCAAAAAUUUCGUCUAAUUCUUAAAGGUAGAAACUAGAAUUUAACUUACCAUAAUAAACUCUUUUAGAUUUCAGUAUGACAAAGCUCAUAAAGAAAAAUGAAGAAUCAAGAGGGCAAGAGAAAGAAGAGAAGGAGAAAAUAACCUGUUAAUACUUAAAUUUCUUACUAUUAUUGCGAGUUAUAUAGAACUUUUCUUUCGUUUCUUUUCUAAAUGAACUAAACAACGGUUGAGCUAAAGGGGGAACAAAACCAUAUAUUUGAUUAUAUACGAAAACAAACAAGAAAAUCCAAAAAAACCAAACAAGUUAAAUAAUUUCUUACAUUCUUUUUGUUCUAACACAUCUUUCAAUGCCCAAUUUAACGUCCAGUUGCAAUCUUGCUUAAAUUAGAAAGAGGUGGCUUCUUGGUUUUGUAUUGUAAAGAUUGCCAUGAAAAUACUAAGGGAACAUUUUGGAACAAUACUAAUAAAUCACGUGAUAUUUAUAUUUAAUUUUGAAGUGAAAGUUACUUUUCCAUGUAUAUUUGAUUACAGAUAAAAUUUUAAAAGAAAGUAAGAAGUUAGUGAAUUUAAUGAUAGUUAUUAAAAUUCUUGUGUGUAUUUGCAAGAUACAAAAUGUAGCAAUAUCCAAGAAUAUAAAAAAUAAAAGAAAUUAACUCUUCAUCACUUUCAUAUUUUUCCCUACGGGUAAAGAACUACUGAAUGUGUUUGGACAGGAGAUUAUUUGAAUUAUUAUUUACAAUAAUUGCUAUAGCACUUUUAUAAUGUGAUUUAUGUGGAAUAAAUCAAUCGUUAGAAAGAUAAAAUAUUGAUUAAAAAGCGUAUUUAUAACAUAAGUAAAAUAGCAUUUUUCCUCACAACCAAGUGGCAAACACUAUAUGUGAGCUAAUAAUUUCUUGCACAAUUUGUGAAACUUGCUAAGGUAUACAAAACUGUGGUACUGAAAUUGAAGACAAAUAUUUCCCAACAAAAUUAUUGGAGCAAAACUGUAAGAUUGAGACAAAUCGGUCCAUUUUCUAAUUUCCAAGGACUGUUUGGGAGUUUUGCAAUUUUCCACCGACAUUUUUCUUGAAAAACAUAAGCGUAAAUACUUGACUAUCCCGUGAAAAAACAAAAAAGACCCAAAAUCUGAUGAAUGAAAGCAGAUUCCGCCAAAACUGCGGCUGGAUUGCACACGUCGCCCCGCAUUUAACCUCCUCUUAUCGAAAGCGAUAUGAGUCAGACAUUCAGAUGUCAUUUUCCUACACUACAGUUUCCCACCACAACUGCACCCUUGUGACUUUUGACUGAUAAGAACUGGAAGAACAGAACUCUCGUAUUUUCUCAGCUCUUUUUUCCCUUCAUUCUUCGAUCAAGAUGCUUUUCUUUCGCUAGAUUUAGCUGCAUUUAUGACAAUGUUUUGAGUAUAGGAACAUUUUUCUACACGUUGCUACUGCACUUUUUCUUUUUCCCCUACAACAAAAGAGCAGCCUUACUUGCUAAUUGCUUUUUUGCUAAUUGCACUUUUUCUUCCAUUGCCAUAGUCACUUCUUCCAUCCAGAAAUUCAUCAUUUCUCAUCCUAAGAGGGAGGCAAAAAUCUGGGUUGGAGUUAGUUUACACUGUUAUUGAAAGUUCAAGAUCAAGAAUGGGAAAAUUUGGGCCUAAAGCACCUGCAUUUUCCUCUAUGUUGCUUUGUCUUGCACUGUUGUCAAGUUUUCGUAUCACUCAUCAAGCACAGCAGCAGCCCAUUAAGACAGUUGUUGUUCUAGUCUUGGAGAACAGAUCUUUUGAUCAUAUGAUUGGAUGGAUGAAGGAUUACAUCAAUCCAUUGAUUAAUGGUGUAACAGGGGAUGAGUGUAAUCCUGUUUCAACUAAGGCUCAACAAACUCAAAGGAUCUGCUUUUCUGAUGAUGCUGAAUUUGUGGAUCCGGACCCUGGUCACUCGUUUGAAGAGGUGCUGCAACAGGUAUUCGGUUCUGGUUCAAUUCCUUCAAUGACUGGCUUUGUUGAACAAGCACUAACCAUGUCGGAGAAUCUGUCUGCAACAGUUAUGAAAGGUUUUAAGCCUGAGAAUUUGCCUGUUUAUGCUGCACUAGUUCGUGAAUUCGCGGUUUUUGAUAGAUGGUUUUCUUCAAUUCCUGGUCCUACUCAACCUAACAGGCUGUUUGUUUACUCUGCUACUUCUCAUGGCUCAACUAGCCAUGUGAAAAAGCAGUUGGCUACUGGAUACCCUCAACAGACUAUAUUUGAUUCGCUUCAUGACAAUGGAUUGGAUUUUGGUAUAUAUUUUCAAAGUUUUCCAACUACUUUAUUCUUCAGGAAUUUGAGGAAACUGAAGUAUAUUUUUAAGUUGCAUCAGUAUGAUCUGAGGUUUAAGAGGGAUGCAAGAAAUGGAAAAUUGCCAAGCCUGACUGUGAUUGAACCUAGGUACUUUGAUCUAAUCGGUUUUCCAGGAAAUGAUGAUCAUCCAUCGCAUGAUGUUGCUAAUGGGCAGAAGCUAGUGAAAGAGAUUUAUGAGACAUUGAGAGCAAGUCCUCAGUGGAAUGAAACUCUUUUCAUCAUCACUUAUGAUGAACAUGGUGGUUUUUAUGAUCAUGUUCAGACUCCUUAUGCUAAUGUUCCCAAUCCUGAUGGAAAUACAGGACCAGCUCCUUAUUUCUUCAACUUUGACAGACUUGGUGUUCGUGUUCCAACAAUUAUGGUGUCUCCUUGGAUCAAGAAAGGAACUGGUAAAACUCACUUCAUUUUCUAAGGCUUCUUUGCUCUUCUGGCGCAAAGAACUGUAUGAUGUUGUAUCUCAAAUUUACAAAUAGAGAAGGGUAAAGUCCAAUGGUAACAAAACUUAAAGAGUUCGCAGACAAUUACUGACAUUUAACUCAACUAUCAUAUAGGACUUAUUGAUUCUUUAGCUUGAUGGAUUAGAAGGAAAUGGAUAUGGAGAAUAUUUUUUCAUUCUUUGUCUAUAUAUGGAUCAGAAGAAGGAAAAAACGAUGAAGAGAAAGCAUAAAGAGUAGUUCUGUUUCUAAAAUGGUCAUGAACUUUAUGAUAUUUAUGUGUCAGGAUACAGCAAGAUGUUGUUUGUUGUAUUACCAAAAUUUCCUCAUCUCAGUUGUAGUAGGUAAGCAGCAGUGGCAUUGGCACAUGAGCACAUGGCUAUCUGAAAAUUGAAAUUCCAUUGAUUUCUUCAUACAAUCAUAUUCAAAUGGUUUUUUUUUUUUUUAAUUUCUAUAAUGUUUUAGUGACUGCUAUUCUCAUGUUAGGUUUUUAACCAAUAUAAUUCAUAAGAACUAUUAUAAUAUUCUACAGUUUCAUGAAGCUAGUGGGUCAUGGUUUUCUUCCAAUUGAACAUAUAUAAGCUGGGCAUCAAACCUGGUUUGCAUAAUCCCAGAAAAGGAAUAUACUGGAAAAGGUCUGCUCUUUCUAUUGUCUCUUUUGUUUCAGCAAGUUGCUGAUCUUGUCCUGUUUGCAGUAAUAAGCAGGCCAAAUGGACCUACUCCAAACUCUGAGUUCGAGCACUCCUCGGUCCCUGCUACCAUAAAGAAGAUUUUCAAUCUCUCAUCCAACUUCUAGACGCAUAGAGAUGCAUGGGCAGGCACUUUUGAACAGGUUGUUGGGGAAUUGACCUCCCCAAGAACUGAUUGCCCUGGUAAGUUAUGCCUGCUGAAGAUAUUAAUCAAGUUAUAUUUCAAGUGUUAGCUUAUCGAUCAAUCAAAGGGACUGCUUAGAAAAACAUACAUAAAGCGCUAUUAGGAGAUAAGAUUUUGAUCAACAAGGUGGUCUUCCAUGAGAGAUUGAUAUGCCUUUGAGUUGUAAAACUUUAUAAUUACUCCCAGUUUUACACCCUUUCUGCCAUUUUUCUAUUAGAUUAGAAUUAAGCUUGCUAAGAAUUACUGAAGAGGUUUCCUCUUAUCAAAUGACAGAGGUCCUUCCUGAUGCUUUUCCAUUGAGAAGCACAAAAGCAGAUGAAAAUAAAAGACUCUCUCAGUUCCAGGGAGAAGUAGUGCAAUUGGCUGCUGUUCUGAAUGGUGACCAUUUCUUGAGUAGCUUCCCAGAUGACAUGGGCAAGAAAAUGAAUGUUAAAGAAGCUCAUGAAUACACUAAAGGUGCAGUAUCAAGAUUCAUAAGAGCAAGCAAAGAGGCAAUCAAGUUAGGAGCAGCUGAAUCUGCCAUUGUGGACAUGAGAUCUUCUCUCACUACUAGAUCCUCAAAUCACAAUUGAUGAAUCUUGUAGGCAUCUCCUUCGUCCAUCUUAGUAUUUAUGCCUACAGAUUUCAUUAGGCUUCUAGUUCAUAUUAGCAAAGUCCACAGAACAAAUCAUAGCAAAACUUAUGUAUAGUAUGACUGUCAGGUUUAGGUGAUUGUUUCUGUUCUUAACUGCAUUUCUUUAGGAGGUCAUAGAAGCAUAUGAAACAACUCAAUAUGUCUAUUACUAGCUCAUAACUUUGAGUUCCAGGAAUUGGAGUCUGACUGUCCGUUUGUUGUAGUUAUGUUUGUGAAGUUUGAGGCUAGAGCACCCGUUAAAGCUAAGGGCAAGUAGUUUUUGCUCUUUCUGUAAACAAUGGACAGUAAUACAACAUUUCCUAUUAUACUCAGCAAAAUGGCUUGUUCCUUCUUUGCUUGUAAAUUUUGCAGCAAGUCUCCUUAUUGUACAAAACUGGUGACUAGUGUGCUAUUCUAUCAGUAUAUAUGGCACAAGGUAGGGGAAAUCAUCUUUAGCAGCUAUCUAUAUUCAAGGUUAUAUUCAGGCAGUGCUAGCUGCGACUUUGCAAAACUAUAAGAACAGUUCCAUCAGUCCUAUCCGGCUCCUCAAUGAAUCCAGUUUGUGCGCCAAGCAUUCCAAGCAACAACGGAUUGUUUUAAACACCAGAUAAAGAUCACUGGGACUAAUUUGACCAUGCAAGAUCCAAGCUUUUGAAUUAUUGUCAGAACUUGAUGCAAAGGUGAUCCAGAUAACAAUUUUGCAUUGUUAAUUCUAGGUGAAACAAUAUGAUUUAGUGCUUCUUAUAUUAUAUGACCAUCAGGCCAUAUUUCAUGAAAAACAUUUUCAACCUGAUCUGUUCUGAACAAGACUACUGAGAAAGAACAAACCCAAUAUUAUUAUUUAUUGGUACAUGGGAUUAAUAACUUGGACAUGGGAUAAUCGAGACAAUCACCUGCAUCACUAAACUCUACUAAUUUCACUUUUGAAUGAUUAGGUAAUGCUGAAUGCAGUAGUUCUUUUUGACCUCUGACAUGAUAAAAAAAUGACCAGUUCGAGCCAGAACCAGACAUGAUCAAGACGUUUCACUACCAAAAAUUAAAAAAUUUUAAAGCAAAUGAGUUAAUGAAAUUACUUAGUAUAUGCAGUUUGAACGUAAAAAAGGCUAAAAGAAAGGUCAAGUUCAUCUUUAAGAUAUGCAUUAUGCAUAUAAUUUAGAAAAUUAAUCAUGUACUCUAGGAUCAUCAUCAAAAAACACCAAGAACUAAUAUACUAUUCGCUCAUAGGUAUAAUUCUCAAGAACAAAGUUUUGGUUUUACAGCCGUGCUUAAAUCAGACAUUAGUAGUGACUUUCUUAUCAACGAUGAUGUUUUCUUAUCAUAAGAAAUCACCAUCGGUAGAUUUUAAAUUUUUUUGUUUGUUGUAAAAUCUAAAAAACAAACAAGUAUAUGAGAGCAACUUACUCUUCAAAAUUAAAGUAUAAAAUCAUGCGAAAUAAUCAAAUGAGAAGGCCUUUACACUAAAUUUGUUUUGCAUGGUAAGGUAAAACAUGAAGGACUAAAUUGUAACUAUUACAAAACAUAAGGGACCUAGAAUACAAUUUUUCCCUUUCUCGUCUUGCUUUUACACCUAUCUCUUCAUCAUUCGAGGCCCAUUUUAUCCCCGGUUAAUUCCCAAUAAAAUUAGGGCACGGCAGCUGCUGGGGAAGCUAUUCUGCACCACCCUUUCUAUUUCCCUCGAUUCCCAUUCCAGGUGAAAUUUCAGUUCUACCAUUUAUAGCAAAUAAAUAAAUCACCGCAACAUUAUAGUCUUUGUGCUAAUCUAGGUUAUGGUAAAUUAAUUACCAGAUAAUUAGCAUUGUUUUUGGGCUUGGUAUUGAUAAUUAGCAGUAUUUCUGGAUUAAAUUUGAGAUAUUUAGGAUAUUAUUAUUGUGCUAAGUUGUAGCAAAUGCAGCAGUUUGUUAGUUAGAUUCCAAGCUUGUUCCUUGGCUCGCUCACUUGUGAUUUUGGGCUUUCCUAGUCAUUGGAAAAAAUUUUGAGAUUAAUAAUGUUCAGGUUUCUGAAUUCUGGUUUCGAUUUUUGGAGCAAUAAAAAUUCAUAUACUGUCAUCUCAUCUCGUGAUUAGAGUGUAUAACAGUGAUUACUGAUCGAAAGAAGCAGCUAAUGAUUUCGAUUUCGUGUGUUAUUGAAUAUCUUGGUUAUUUAAUUUUUCUAAUGGAAGUAAUUUGUUUUGAUGGUAUUGGUUAGAUUGUGCCAAGUUGCCUUGUUAUAAGGGAUUUAGUUUGGACUCAGGUGUCUUGUGGAGCGAUUGAUCGUUCUCUUCAUGAUGAUUCAGUUGUUUCUUUCGGCUUCUAAUUGGAGCAAUGAUGGGAACGAUGAAUUGUUUGAAAAGAGGAAAGCACUUCUUAGGGAGCUAGAAUCAGUUUUGUGGUUGUUAAUGACUUCAGGGGGCCGUUCUGAAGUUCGACUUUGGCUCUGCAACACUAUUGCGGGCAUAAGUUCAAUCAGUCCCCACCAUCAGCAGGAACUCUUUGUGAGGUUAUUAACAGCUCAUACGGCAAAGCGACGCCUAGCAUCCCAAUUUCUUCAGUUGCUUUUUGAAAAGGAGCCCAAAAAAGCAGGGCGUAUUAUUGCAAAGAAAAGCUCCAUGUUGGAGAAUUUCUUCAGAGGCAAGUUACUGUGCCAAGGAAACUUUGGUUUGUAUUUAGGUUCCUCUGCUAAUUAUUGUUAAAUGCAGGAAACCCGAGGCGGAUCUUGCAGUGGUUCUCUAAUUUUAGUGGGGGCACUGGCUUGGGGCACAGAAAGGGGGCUAAGGCUUUAUCCCAUUAUGCUUUUGUGCAUCGAGAUGUUUGUUGGGAGGAACUGGAGUGGAAGGGAAAGCAUGGCCAGUCACCUGCAGUGGUUGCUACGAAACCUCAUUACUUUCUUGAUUUGGACGUCCAACGCACAGUAGAGAAUUUUCUUGAAUAUGUGCCAGAGUUUUGGUCAUCCAGCGAAUUUGCUGAGUCAUUGAAGGAUGGAGAGAUAUUGAAAAUAGAUAAAAAGUUUUUUGUUAAUAUGUUCGUAAAUUUGAUGUAUAAGGAGGACAUGAAAGAACUAUGGGGCAUCAUAGAUGAAUUUCUAAUUAAGGAACCCUUCUCCUCUCUGUGCCAUCACCUUCUUAUCAUUCUUGAAGAGCAGGAGUUAUCAUACUUUAUGGACUUGAUCAGUAAAUUUCUUAAAUCAAGGUCUGAAGUUGUUGAGUAUGACAGUCCGUCUUUUUGGCUUGAAGUUAUACUAUCAAAGUGCAGUAUUACUUCUAUUGAUCAAUUACUACUGUUAAAUGCCAUGACUAGUCAAGCACGCCAGCUUCUGCGACUUGUUCGUGAAGAAGGUAAUCUGGAUGAAAAAGAAAAAGUUAAGAAUAUAGUUUCUCAGGUUUGUUCUUCUUCAAGUCGUGCUGAUAGUUUGGCUCCAAUUAUGGAUGAAUGGUCCAAGAAGAAAAAUUUAGAGUCAAUAAGAUGGUUAGGAUUGCAGUCUUGGGCAAUCUUUUUUAGGUUGUCGGAGGAAUUUCGGACAUCUGAGUCCUGGGAGUCCUUAUUUUCUAGCAACGGCAUAGGUUUUCGAAAGUCUGACAAGUAUAGAUUGCUAGAAGAUGACGAAUAUUCAGAAGAAAGUGAAUCUGAUUGGGAUGACAGGCCUUCAGGUAAAGUUAGGCAUAAGAAGAAAGGAAGGCAUAUUAAGAAAAGGAGAAGAAAGCAUAAAUUAGAAGAAAGCCAUGGUGAACGAUUGAUAGAUCUGGAUGUGUCAGAUAACGGCCUGGAUUUGCAAUUUAAGGCAGGUGACUGGUUGCUGUCUACUGAUCAGUAUUCUACUACAUGGAGCAGUGUAAGUUAACUUCAAUCUUGCUCUAAUCUCUCUUGAUUUUGCAAUAGGAUUGCCUCGAAUUCUCUUUUUAAUCUCUUUUCAAAUAGGUCAAUAUAGUCACAUGUUCUGCAAGUUAGUGAAUGCAUUUUGUCAUCCAUUUGUUAGACUAGGGGCAGUCAGAUAAUCUGCCAAUUAGUUCAUCACUUAGAUGUAGCUAAGAAGACUACCUUAAUCUUCUAUUGCUUAAUUUAUGGUUAUUGGUUUAUUUUUUUUUUGCCUGGUGAGCUGUUUAUUUGUACAGUGCUUUCUGUCCCUUCUUCCUUCUCCCUUCUCUCAAUGCAUGUUCUAUACUGUUGUAAACCCCCUUCCCCCAAAAAGAAAAUGGUCCAUUUCCACAUUUUAUGAUUGGUGUUAAAUUGUUUUAGUUCUCUCUCUCUCUCUCUCUGUGUAUAUAUAUAUAAAUAUAUAACGACUUUUUUUUUUUUGGGUGCAGGUAGACCUGCCGGAACAUAUAUCGAAGCAUUGCUUCUAUACAUGGAUAAAAUUUGUUAUUACCUAAAUUUGGAGACAUGGAUUCUCUCUGCAUGCUGUGUUAGAUUAUUCAGAGUUCUGAUGGGGGACAUGCACUAUACACUAUCUUAUUCAAGUUGGAGAAAUAAGGUGUAAAGGUUUGUUAAAACGAAAUGUCAUGAUUCUUCCCUUUCUGUCAGCUGUAAUUUUUUUUCAAGUCAUAGUUAUUCUGAUCUAACGAUUGAGGUAUUGUUGCGACGUGAAGGAAUUCAAGUGGAUCAGAAGAUAGCUCUACAUUCUUGGUCAUCCUCUCUGAAUGCCACUUUGUGAUCCUUGGGCUUUCAUGCAUCAAACAGUAUGCUUCCUUGUUCUCUUAAUUUUUGUUCUGGAGUCAUUUCUUAGUUAUGCUUUGUGGUCUGAUUCGGGGCUCAAGAAUUUGACAUCCUGAACUGAUUAGUGUUGUGUUAAAUGACUACCUGGGUAAAAUUCUUCGACACAAGUCCUUACAAUGAUUAAAAUGCCUAGCCCCUGCCUCCUCACCCUCAACUCCCAGUCUCCCGCCCCUCGUUUCUACCUCCCUUUUUCCCUCUUUUCCAUACCUCUUUCUAGGCUUGCCUUCAUUUUCCACUUGUCAUAACAGAUGGCACAAGAACCUAAUAUAUUAAGUGGCAAUCCCAUCAUCUACACUGCCUAAUCAAAUUAUACUGAUAACUCCGGAUAUCAUUUAAAAGCACUGUUUGAAUCCUGUGCCCUCCUGUUUUCCCCUUGCCAUUUCAUGUCAUAUCCCAUGGAAGAGCAUGCCACUCUUGAUUAACCUUGAUGACUGCGUCUGUUGGUUUAAAGUCUUCAGUUCUAAGCAAAAUGCUAGCUUUGACAAGUUUUUUUGGUUUUUGGAUUCACAGGUGUAUCUUUGCUGCGUUGCUUUUCUUCAUUCAUGGAAGGAAUGCUGCUCUCAGGCUGAAGCUCUAUGAACAUCAUACAACCUAUCAUGGCUUGAUGCUCGACAGUCAUAAGCAUUAGUAAAGAAAACAAAUAUCUAGUUUAGGUCAUUUAGUUCAAUGACGGUGCUGUCAUGUUGUGUGGUUUAUUGUACAGAGCUUUAUUAUCAGCUUCAAAGUAGUGAAAAACUAGAUUUGUAUACACAAGUGGGUAUUGCAAAGUUUGUUAUCUUUUUUUUUUUUGGGAUUAUUUCCCGAAUGUUCUGGAUACAGUAACCUCUGACUUCAACUUCUUACAUCGUCAUUAUUAAGGAAAAUUAAAAGAAUGAGAAGGAAGAAAACCCGUUAUCCCUCUUACCCUGAAGUACGAUUUGCUUGAAUCAUAUGAAAAUUUCUCAAUUUGAGACUCUCUACUGCGUCAUUGUUGCUGGGCCAAAGCACAGGAACUUUUAAACCAUAAAACGCCCUGAAUGAUUUUGAAUCAAAUUGAUAUAGAUUUCUUGCAUCCUAUUUUCCUCCUCCUUUUAUGUCUUCCUCUUCUUUCCUCUCCUUUCCCAUUUUGAACUUUUUAUUUCACCUAUUACGAAGCAGCUUACCUAAAGCAAAGUUUAACUUUUACAGAAAAGUAGUGUUCCCAAAAGCAAGAAAUUAGUGCCAGCAACACAAACCGGAAUCCCUUCUUGUUUCUAGCAAUUUAAUUGACGCAUGCUGAUUGCUCCAAACGUAGAAAUCUGUGUUGUGCAGAACUUCACAGAUCUAUCCGCAAACAGAAAAAAGAGACUUCCCACACAUGGUUUAGGCUCCCAUUCUCAUUCUUUCCAGUUAGCAACCGAAUGCAACUCAUAGAUGAGAUGAAAAGCAUUUCAAAUACUUGCUACUACACUGAAAUUAAACAUUUACAAAAUGUAACUUCACUAAUGAUCUUGUGUAAUUCGAGCUGCCACUGGCCAACCUUGCCAGAACUUGGAAAUAGCCUAAAGAAAAUUGACAGAUAGCUAUAUAAUUUCAAUCAUCAUCUUCCGGGUCAAAAUCUUUAAUCUUCACAUCAGCAUCUUCUCCAUACUGAAUGCAGUUAUCAAUUUGUGACAAGA
This 43617-nucleotide long non-coding RNA is filed under the name Coffea arabica (coffee). Its description in RNAcentral is "long non-coding RNA (CARA_LNC002784)". Lineage: Eukaryota; Viridiplantae; Streptophyta; Magnoliopsida; Gentianales; Rubiaceae. The record is from RNAcentral.